CCCAGCCCUUUGAUGGAGCUGGAAAAGGUGGAGUCAUCCCCCGCUGCCCCGAGCUAGUCGCCUGAUAUGGACGUAAUCAUCAUCAACAAAUAUCGAUGACGGAGCCAUUUGGAAAAGAGGACGAAAUCUGGACUAUAUCCAUAGAGAACUGCAGCAAACACUAGAGAUAAUCAUGGCCUGCUGUGUCUAUGUGAUGUACCACUUCCCUCUCAGCCACUGCAACAAGAGGAUGUCCAUCCUGAC
This is a long non-coding RNA of Myripristis murdjan (pinecone soldierfish), 243 nucleotides long. RefSeq lists it as uncharacterized. Lineage: Eukaryota; Metazoa; Chordata; Actinopteri; Holocentriformes; Holocentridae. The record is from RefSeq and is a predicted model, not a curated record. The transcript is spliced from 3 exons.